RNAcentral lists this ribosomal RNA (489 nucleotides) under Aspergillus fumigatus. RNAcentral's name for it is "SSU rRNA". It matches the Rfam family "Bacterial small subunit ribosomal RNA", at positions 27 to 546 of the family's 1533-position model. The record is from RNAcentral. Lineage: Eukaryota; Fungi; Ascomycota; Eurotiomycetes; Eurotiales; Aspergillaceae.
UGAUUGAACGCUGUCCAAGUACUUGACACAUGCUAAUCGAACGACUAAUUAGUUUAAUAAACUGAAUAGUAGUGGUGUACAGGUGAGUAAAAGAUAAUUUGGCUACCUUAAAGUAAGGGAAAAAUCCCUUAUAAAAAGAAAGGAAAAUAAAAAGUCCGCUUUAAGAUGUUAAUCUUUAUCUCGGAAAGUAGUAGGAAAGGUAAUGACUUUUCUAGCUGAAAUCCGUAGUCGUGACUGAGAGGUCGAUCGACCACAUUGGGUCUGAAAAAACCCCAAUGCGUAUUAGUACAGCAGUGAGGAAUAUUGGUCAAUGGCCGAAAGGCUGAACCAGUAACUUGGAAGAAUGUAAGUGUAUUAUAGUAAUACAGUAACGAUUAACUCGUAUAAAAUUCUAAAUAGGAUAAUGAUAAUGACAAUUUCCUAUUUAUAAGUCUUGACCAAAUUACGUGCCAGCAGUCGCGGUAAUACGUAGAAGACUAGUGUUAGUCA